GAUUGGUCGAAAGACCUUAUCAGAUUCUACCACCUCUGUGAACCGUUGACCUCCGGGUUAAUAAUCAAACAUCAGUGUAACGAACGUAAGAGUAUCUUAAUUAAACAAAACUUUUAACAACGGAUCUCUUGGCUCUCGCAUCGAUGAAGAACGCAGCGAAAUGCGAUAAGUAAUGUGAAUUGCAGAAUUCAGUGAAUCAUCGAAUCUUUGAACGCACCUUGCGCCUUUUGGUAUUCCGAAAGGCAUGCCUGUUUCAGUGUCAUGAAAUCUCAAUCUAAUAUGUUUUCUGAACAUGUUAGGCUUGGACUUGGGUGUCUGCCAGCAAUGGCUCACCUCAAAUGACUUAGUGGAACAUCCCACAUCAGUGUUAGACGUAAUAAGUUUCGUCUCUCCUUGUGGUGAUGACUGCUCAAAACCUGCCAUUGCGCACCUUUU
Molecule: unclassified non-coding RNA, 435 nt
Filed under: Papiliotrema flavescens
Lineage: Eukaryota; Fungi; Basidiomycota; Tremellomycetes; Tremellales; Rhynchogastremaceae
Description: sequence contains 18S rRNA gene, ITS1, 5.8S rRNA gene and ITS2
Rfam family: 5.8S ribosomal RNA (bases 109-262)
Source: RNAcentral